GAUCUAAAAGAGAAGAAAGAAGUUGUGGAAGAGACAGAAAAUGGCAGAGAUGCACCAGCCAACGGCAAUGCUGUAAGUAUCGCUAGACCAUCCUUUGGAGAUGGCCCUUUGCUUGCUGCUGUUCCCGCGGACUCAUUGUUUGGCAUUCUCUGGGAGGAGGAAACAUUGCAUACAGCAGCACCCUGCUGCGUAACCCCAUUGUGAAAGCAACAUGCUGGUACAGUUUCAGAGUCGGGAAAGGCCUCCAGCCCGGGGGUGAUUUCCAGGUGUAUGGGCGGGAAGGGGAGGUGCGGCGGGAGCUCUUGGGCUGACUCUUAAAUCCCGCAGAGAACACUAGUCUUCAGUGCCGCCUCCUUCUAGAAGCCCUGGUUUGGUUUGAAAAUGCGGCAAACAGAUGGGUGGGGAAAGCCUUGUACACAAGCAAAGCUGGGGUUUGCUUGUUUUGUUGUUUUUCUAACAACUGCCAGAGCGAAACUGGCAAUGCUGCCUUUUAAUCUGACACGAUGUCACAAUAGACUUUAGAUUCCUGUCUGAGGCUCAAGAUGCAGCCGCCACAUUACCAUCAAAUUUAAGUCCUUUAUCUUUGUUUCUGCGUGAAGUGUGGACAGAAUGUGGAACAGCCUUGAAGUGAAAACACACAUAGCUUGCAUGUCAGCCCGUGGGCACCUGCUAGGAAGGCUGAGAGGGGAGCAAGAUNGCAAGAUGGGGGCCUGUCUCCUCAACUGCACUUGCUGGAUGGGUUCCUAGAUCGCUCGAUCUCGGGCUGCGGUUCUGUGUGUGGGGAUGGGAUGGGGAGGUGAGCCAUUUCCCUCCAUGAUUUUUUUUUUAAGUGAGUGUCUUUUCUUGACAAGGAGAACGAGGAAAACGGCGAGCAGGAGGCUGACAAUGAAGUAGACGAAGAGGAAGAAGAAGGCGGCGAAGAAGAGGACGAGGAGGAAGAGGGUGAUGGUGAGGAAGAGGACGGCGAUGAAGAUGAGGAAGGCGACGCACCCACAGGCAAACGGGCAGCUGAGGAUGACGAGGACGAGGACGUCGAUCCCAAGAAGCAGAAAACCGACGAAGAUGACUAGGCAGCACAUAUAUAUAUUUUUUAAAAUAAGGAGAAAAACAAACAAAAGGCCAGCGCGACCUGUUCACUUUCAACGUCCCGUCGCAACCCCCCUGCCGUGGUCACCCUUCCCAAGUAGAGCGAACCUGCCCGCGAAGCCGCCGCCACUCGGAACGAAUGCCCGAAAAGAUUCCCCCCCAUCAGUGGGGCGAGAACCCCUCUUUCCCCAGCACCAAAACUUCAAGGCCCUGCUUUCUUUCUUAAAAAUACUUUAAAGGAGAAUUUGUUUGUAUUUUUUAUUUACAUUUUAUAUUUUUGUACAUAUUGUUAGGAGGUCAGCCAUUUUUAAGUGAUCUCGGAUUGACCAAAUGGGGGGCUUUGAAGUGUGUGUCUCUCUCUCUCGUUACCCAUCUCUGACUUUACUUGUGGUGUGACCGCGUCCCAACAAACCAUUCUCCCGAAGGAGGAAAAACGACCUUGUAAAAAAACAAAAACGCAAAAAAAAAAAAAUUUACAAUCUUAUUCCGAGCAUUCCAGUAACUUUUUUUGUGUCUGUCCUUUAGCUGUACUAUAAGUAGUGGGUUUGUAUGCGAUGGCAAGGCCAAAGAGAAAAGGUUUUUUUGGUUUUUUUUCUGUCUAUGAAGUUGCUGUUUAUUUUUAUUUUUAUUUUUUUUUGGCCUGUUUGAUGUAUGUGUGAAACAAUGUUGUCCACCAAUAAAGCGGAAUUUUAUUUUGCUGAGUUGUUCUAA
Long non-coding RNA from Gopherus agassizii (Agassiz's desert tortoise), 1797 nucleotides. The record is from Ensembl. NCBI's taxonomy places the organism in Eukaryota, Metazoa, Chordata, Testudines, Testudinidae.